RNAcentral lists this unclassified non-coding RNA (238 nucleotides) under fungal sp. RNAcentral describes it as "partial internal transcribed spacer region". The stretch from base 1 to 46 matches the Rfam family "Eukaryotic small subunit ribosomal RNA", at positions 1786 to 1831 of the family's 1831-position model. RNAcentral also lists the same sequence under 1 other name. Lineage: Eukaryota; Fungi. The record is from RNAcentral.
AAGUCGUAACAAGGUUUCCGUUGGUGAACCAGCGGAAGGAUCAUUACUGAGAUCAUGCCCUCACGGGUAGACCUCCCACCCUGUGUAUUAUACCUUUGUUGCUUUGGCAGGCCCGCCCCCCGGGGCACUCGGCUCCGGCUGAGCAGCGCCUGCCAGAGGACCCCAACCCUAAUGUUUACGUGUCGUCUGAGUACUAUAUAAUAAGUUAAAACUUUCAACAACGGAUCUCUUGGUUCUG